CCUACGGGAGGCAGCAGUGAGGAAUAUUGGUCAAUGGGCGAGAGCCUGAACCAGCCAAGUAGCGUGAGGGAAGACGGUCCUAUGGAUUGUAAACCUCUUUUGCCGAGGAGCAAAAAGCGGUACGUGUACCGCAUCGAGAGUACCCGAAGAAAAAGCAUCGGCUAACUCCGUGCCAGCAGCCGCGGUAAUACGGAGGAUGCGAGCGUUAUCCGGAUUUAUUGGGUUUAAAGGGAGCGCAGGCGGCGGGUUAAGUCAGCCGUAAAAAUUUGGGGCUCAACCCCAGACAAGCCGUUGAAACUGGCUUGCUAGAGUGGGCGAGAGGUAUGCGGAAUGCGUGGUGUAGCGGUGAAAUGCAUAGAUAUCACGAAGAACUCCGAUUGCGAAGGCAGCAUACCGGCGCCCCACUGACGCUCAGGCACGAAAGCGUGGGUAUCGAACAGGAUUAGAUACCCCUGUAGUC
Molecule: ribosomal RNA, 460 nt
Filed under: uncultured bacterium
Lineage: Bacteria
Description: partial 16S ribosomal RNA
Rfam family: Bacterial small subunit ribosomal RNA
Source: RNAcentral